This is an RNA transcript of Coffea arabica (coffee), 1331 nucleotides long. It is a transcript of the gene named nudix hydrolase 26, chloroplastic-like, with no coding region annotated. NCBI's taxonomy places the organism in Eukaryota, Viridiplantae, Streptophyta, Magnoliopsida, Gentianales, Rubiaceae. The record is from RefSeq and is a predicted model, not a curated record.
AAGAUGAGACGCCCAUCAAGAGUAGAGUGGGCUUGCGAGCGAGUGUGAUGGCUUUAUGUUUGUGCCGAUACAUCAUCCUAUGCUGCCAUCCUCGGCACCGCCAUCAAGCCCUCUCUGCCACUCCAAGAAAUAACAAUUUCUCUUCGCUUUAUUGUCCUCCAAAUCGCUGCCAAAAAUUUACUUCUGCCCUCUCGAUUGAUCCUCAUCAUCGUCAUAAACGCUUCAGAGCUUCAUUUUGUGCUCAAUCAUUAUCAAUCAUGCAAAACCCGCCUCAAGGUUAUAGAAGAAACGUUGGUAUUUGUCUCAUGAAUCCCUCUUCUAAAAAGAUUUUUGCAGCAUCAAGACUUGACAUACCUGACGCCUGGCAAAUGCCUCAGGGAGGGAUUGAUGAAAGUGAAGAUCCAAGAACUGCAGCUGCAAGGGAAUUGAGAGAAGAAACAGGAGUUACUACAGCAGAUGUUGUUGCUGAGGUGCCUUAUUGGUUGACUUAUGAUUUCCCUCCAGCUGUGCGGGAGAAACUAAAUCGUCAAUGGGGAUCAGACUGGAAAGGUCAAGCUCAGAAAUGUGGCGGUGGGUGGUCAAGGUGGGGAGGAGAUAGCUGCUGCUUCAUAUAGCUAAAUGCUAGUAACUUCAUGGUUUCUUUUCAAAUUCAAUGGAAAUGAUGAUGAAAUCAAUCUUUUGGGUGAUGGUACUGAGAAGGCUGAAUUUGGAGAAUGGGCAUGGAUGUCAGCAGAACAAGUAAUUAAUCAUGCAGUGGAUUUCAAGAAACCUGUUUAUGAGGAAGUUUUGUCUGUUUUCUCAACAUAUCUGCAGUAAAUUACUGAAGAUUAUUCUUUUAGUGGACGUGCAAAUUUACUGGACUUUUUCAAGUGGAAAUCAUGCAGCAGCAUCUUGUCAAAAGCUAAAAUUUAUGACUCUAAUGAUUAUGUUUUAAUUCCGAAGUAUUGUCAUACGGAUCCACAGGUUCAAAGUACUUCAUUUUGCUUGGAUGUGUUAAUGCAUAUUCUACAAGUUCAAGGACAGUAUCGACAAAGUUGUUAUUACUUGUAAGAAGGAAGCUGCCAACGUUUUGCAGCCUGUUUAUAUUCGGAGAGGGAAUCAAAGCUUGCAUGGCAUUUGCGGAUACUAGACUGCACUGAUCAAAUACAUCACAUUGAGAAAAGUAAUGGAUGACCUGACAGCAUUACAAAUUGUCUCUAAAUUUUGCAUGGUGUCUGUGUCGUGCUUAGAGGUUGAACGAGGGGGAAAGUUUGUGAUGUGUCUAUCUCUUGGCAAUACUUCGUUCUCAUUCAAAAACUUAUCUUGCAUUGGCAUAGGAUGUUUCAACUAAC